This 74-nucleotide transfer RNA is filed under the name Blastococcus saxobsidens DD2. RNAcentral describes it as "tRNA-Gly". It matches the Rfam family "tRNA". From Rfam's summary of the family: Transfer RNA (tRNA) molecules are approximately 80 nucleotides in length. Their secondary structure includes four short double-helical elements and three loops (D, anti-codon, and T loops). The record is from RNAcentral. Lineage: Bacteria; Bacillati; Actinomycetota; Actinomycetes; Geodermatophilales; Geodermatophilaceae.
GCGGGUGUAGCUCAAUGGUAGAGCCCCAGCCUUCCAAGCUGGCCAUGCCGGUUCGAUCCCGGUCACCCGCUCCC